GACAGAGGGUGCAAACGUUGCUCGGAAUUACUGGGCGUAAAGGGCGUGUAGGCGGGAAGGCAAGUCGGGCGUGAAAGCCCCAGGCUCAACCUGGGAACUGCACUCGAAACUGCCUUUCUUGAGUGCCGGAGAGGAAAGCGGAAUUCCUGGUGUAGAGGUGAAAUUCGUAGAUAUCAGGAGGAACACCAGUGGCGAAGGGCGGCUUUCUGGGACGGUAAACUGACGCUGAGACGCGAAAGCGUGGGGAGCAAACAGG
Molecule: ribosomal RNA, 256 nt
Filed under: uncultured bacterium
Lineage: Bacteria
Description: partial 16S ribosomal RNA
Rfam family: Bacterial small subunit ribosomal RNA
Source: RNAcentral